RNAcentral lists this ribosomal RNA (460 nucleotides) under uncultured bacterium. Its description in RNAcentral is "partial 16S ribosomal RNA". It matches the Rfam family "Bacterial small subunit ribosomal RNA", at positions 28 to 507 of the family's 1533-position model. The record is from RNAcentral.
GACGAACGCUGGCGGCGUGCUUAACACAUGCAAGUCGAGCGGUAAGUCCUCUUCGGGGGUCCACGAGCGGCGUACCGGGGAGUAACACGCGCGUGACCUCCCCUUAACUCUGCGAUAAGGCUGGGAAACUGGGUCUAAUACCGGAUAUGACCUUUUCUCGCCUGGGGUUUGGGGGCAAGUUUUUUUGGCUGGGGGUGGGGCCGCGGCCUGUCAGCCUGGUGGUGGGGUGAUGGCCUACCGAGGCGACGACGGGUAGCCGGGCUGGGGGGGCGACCGGCCAAGCUGGGACUGAGGCACGGCCCAGACUCCUUCGGGAAGGAGCAGUGGGGGAAAUUGCGCAAUGGGCGGAAGCCUGACGCAGCGACGGCGCGUGGAGGAUGGCGGGCUUCGGGUUGUAAACCUCUUUCGACCCCGGCGGAUUUUGACGGUAGCGGUAGAAGAAGCACCGGCCAACUACGUG